GACGAACGCUGGCGGUAUGCUUAACACAUGCAAGUCGGACGAGAAGUCUUUUAUUGAACCUUCGGGGGAUAUAAGAGACAGACAGUGGCGAACGGGUGAGUAACGCGUGGGCAACCUACCUAUCGGAGCGGGAUAGCCUCGAGAAAUCGGGAGUAAAACCGCAUAACACGGAUAUAUCGCAUGAUGAAUCCGUCAAAACUCCGGUGCCGAUAGAUGGGCCCGCGUCUGAUUAGCUAGUUGGUAAGGUAAGGGCUUACCAAGGCAACGAUCAGUAGCCGGUCUGAGAGGGCGAACGGCCACACUGGAACUGAGACACGGUCCAGACUCCUACGGGAGGCAGCAGUGGGGAAUAUUGCGCAAUGGGGGCAACCCUGACGCAGCAAUACCGCGUGAGUGAAGAAGGUUUUCGGAUCGUAAAGCUCUGUUAUUGGGGAAGAAGCAGUGACGGUACCCAAUGAGGAAGUCCCGGCUAACUACGUGCCAGCAGCCGCGGUAAUACGUAGGGGACGAGCGUUGUCCGGAAUCACUGGGCGUAAAGGGCGCGUAGGCGGUUUUAUAAGUCAGAUGUGAAAGGUACCGGCUCAACCGGUGACGUGCAUUUGAAACUGUAAGACUUGAGUACUGAAGAGGCAAGCGGAAUUCCUAGUGUAGCGGUGAAAUGCGUAGAUAUUAGGAAGAACACCGGUGGCGAAGGCGGCUUGCUGGGCAGAUACUGACGCUGAGGUGCGAAAGCGUGGGGAGCGAACAGG
Molecule: ribosomal RNA, 749 nt
Filed under: uncultured Pseudoramibacter sp.
Lineage: Bacteria; Bacillati; Bacillota; Clostridia; Eubacteriales; Eubacteriaceae
Description: bacterial SSU rRNA
Rfam family: Bacterial small subunit ribosomal RNA
Source: RNAcentral